CUUUCUAGUUCAUUCUUGAAUUUUUGUAAUCUUGUAGCCUUCUGUCCUGUGAGACCUCCUAACCACAGUCUUCAGUACACAACCCACAGCCUGGGUUGAAAUUCAGUCUAACUUUUUCAAUUUUUUUUCCUCUUUUCUUUUCUUUUCUUUUUUUUUUUUUUUCCUGCUUUGUAUGUAGAAAAUCAUUGGAUUUUUUUUUUCUUGUUUGUUAUAUUUAGACUAAGAAUCUAACAAUUCUUAGAUCUUUAAUUCAUGUUUUUACAGCAUCAUAUGAGAAGUUCCAAGGCCAAAGCCAUAUUUUGUAAUUAACUACAUCCUUUCACUUUUUAAAUUUUAUUUAUUUUGCUCACCACAUGACACGUUAGCUUCAGUUAAUGGAAAGCAGUAUAGAACUUCAUCAUUUGUCCUUCCAUGUAAGCAAUGCAUUACAAACUGCAUUAAUAAAACAAAGGUACAUCACGAAACCUGGUAAUAGUAGCAUGUAUAAAAUACAUGACCAGAUAUUUCUAAUUGACAAAUGAGUUAACGAUUGUGCCUCAGCUGUGGGUUCCCUACAACUUGAGAGUUUUGUAAAGCAACCCUUUUAAAUUCAAAAGUUUGAGAACUUGAUGGGGAAAAAAAUCACAAACAGAUCCAAUUUUUAAAUAGUACUAAUUACAGUGUACCAAAUAUUACUUCAGGUAUUAUUAUUAUUAUUAUUUUUAAUUUAUGAUACUGAUUACAUUUUGCAUGUCUAAAAACUACAGAACAUUCCAGCGUAGACAAAAUUUGUAAUUUUUAGUAAAGGAAUCAGUUUCUUUUGCAAGACCCUGUGAUACUUAAUUCUUACAUAUUUUUCAAGUAUUUUAUUUAAUUAAUCAUAAUAUAGCAAAACAGUUGUGAUUACAAACAUGUUUACUUUGAACCUGCAGUGCUAACCAAUAUAUCAAGAAACAUCAAUAUCUCUGCAACUGCUAGUAAUUUGUGACACCACAUCUAUUUCUGUAUUUUUGAUAGGCAAACCAAACUCCAAAGUCUAGAGGCAAGAGAAAGGAAGACUGAUAAUCUUGUUCAUUAUUAUGAAAACAAAUACUAAUUCAUUUUUUAUGCAUUUUCUAUGAUACUUACUGUACACUACAUUCCUUGGUAUAUACAUGUAUGCCACUAUACAUGUUAAAUAUAUAUCUAUAUUUUAUCAUGUACAUCUUACACAUACAUACAUAUACAGGAACACAGAUAUUAAUUUCAUUUGUAGGUUUAAAUAUUUGUUCUUUUUUGUUUUACCUAUUAAUCUCAAAUGUGUAUUUUUAUUCAUGAUAGAUAAUGCUCCUGGGUAUUCAUUUCAGUAGGGAGUAAAUAAGUGACCUUCUCAUCAUACCUUUGAUUUUUAAAUCAUUUAUUCAUUAUUUAACAAACGGUUCACCACACUUCCAUUGAAGAGGAAGAUGUUAGUGGUUUGAUAAAUGUAUUUUACUAUAACAUUUAGCAUUAUGCAUUCUCAUGAUUUUAUAAUCUUAUUGAAUAUGUACAAUUGAAUUGCUAGAAUUUAUUGCAAAAAAAAAAAAAAGCUAAAUGUUUCUGUUUGAAAUCCCUAAGAUAAAAUUUUAUGAAAA
Molecule: long non-coding RNA, 1592 nt
Organism: Oxyura jamaicensis (ruddy duck)
Lineage: Eukaryota; Metazoa; Chordata; Aves; Anseriformes; Anatidae
Exons: 2
Source: RefSeq, a predicted model, not a curated record